AAUAGCAAGGGAGAUCAAUUUUGGAUUUGAUCAGGACUUGGGUUCAAUUAUUUUCUAAUUAGAUUAGGAUCUAAUUGGAUUAGAAAUUUAUUUAUCCUUGAUGCAACCUAAUCUUAAAGUGGUUAGGAUUAAUUUUGCAUCUGAGAGUUUCUAGUUUGACUGGGACUCUCUUUCUCCCUAAGCACCACCCCACGUGCACGCCAA
This 204-nucleotide long non-coding RNA is filed under the name Elaeis guineensis (African oil palm). RNAcentral's name for it is "long non-coding RNA (EGUI_LNC058392)". The record is from RNAcentral. Lineage: Eukaryota; Viridiplantae; Streptophyta; Magnoliopsida; Arecales; Arecaceae.